CUCCCCUCCGCCGUCUCCCAGGAAACGCAGGCGCGGCAGGUCUCGGAUGCAGAGGUUCCUCGGGGACUUCCCUGCACUGGAGGCUCUAGGAUGACUAUUUGAUCUGCAGAUUCCUGGGCCCACUCCAGAGCUGGCCAGCAAGCACGCCCGAGAGCGCCCUGAGGAGUUCGAGAAGCACCGCCCUUGCGGGUCCUCAGAGGGCGCCCCGGGACGGACGGGAGCUUCCCUAGCCUGGCCCACAGCAGCCAGCGACAAACCCGACUUCCGGCGCUACUGGAGUCUGUUUCCGUCUCGGGCCUCAGUCCUGCGUCUUGGGGUCCGCUCCGCAUUUGACCGCCUGCAGGGGACCUCAAGGCCUGUGCCGGGGUGGCGGCCCGAGCUGAGUUGCACACAGCGCAUGGAUUUAAAGGGAACCGACUGGGCUCGGCGAUUUCCCACAUGCAGAAUCUCCACCCGAAAGAAAUCACCCCCAAAUUCCAUUUAACGGGAACUGAAAUAGGGUAGCACCGCUACAGGGAGGAUAAGAUUCUAAGUUCGGUUUCAGAGACGUGUCGACGGUGGUGCCAGCUGCUGUUUGGAAAUGCCGCCUCCUGCCCUACUCCGCAGUGCCUUCAUCCUUCCGUGACAGCAUUGUUCUGCCCAGCGAUCUCGAGGUAUCAGCGGCACUUUCCCAUUGAGAAGCCGAAGAGAGGGACCUCAGGGCAACCCAGUGCGUGCUCAGUGCGGGCCAGCGUUCCCGCCAGGGGCUGAGAACUCGCACCUCCGGUAGGUCACAGUCUGCCCAAGCCACAAAUGCUAUGAAGUUGGGUUCACAUGUUUUCUUGACGUUAGAAGAACAUCAUUCCACUUGGCAAUCUUCGCCCCAACAUGAGUGGCAGAGAGAGCAGCUCUCCAAAGCAAAGAUUUGAUUUGGAGAUGACUUAGAGAUUGUGAUCCCUGAUGCGCAUGCUGUGGUGGACCAUGGUGACAAGGGUACUAAAGGUAAAAUGAGAAGGGGCACAUCAGUUGUUUGGAAAUGCGUGCCCUUGAUUGCAAGGAUAAACAAGGGAAAUUUCUGUCUGAGCCCGAGGGCAGUUAUUGAAUGGUUGCCCGCAGGUAUUUUUGUUCAAGGUUGCAAUUUUUGCUGAGUCUCCUGUGAUAGUUCCUGUUAGAAGGCAAAUAUACAUGAGAA
RNAcentral lists this long non-coding RNA (1171 nucleotides) under Heterocephalus glaber (naked mole-rat). Its description in RNAcentral is "lncRNA (ENSHGLG00100034623.1)". Lineage: Eukaryota; Metazoa; Chordata; Mammalia; Rodentia; Bathyergidae. The record is from RNAcentral.